CAAUAGCGUAUAUUAAAGUUGUUGCAGUUAAAAAGCUCGUAGUUGGAUUUCUGGGAGGGUGCUAAUGUCCGCCGUAGCGCGUGUGCAGCCGCGCCCUUCCAUCCUUCUGUUAACGCCUCUUGGCAUUUGUUUGCUGGUGGCGGGCUCAGAUAUUUUACCUUGAGAAAAUUAGAGUGUUUCAGGCAGGCUAGGCCGGAAUAUAUUAGCAUGGAAUAAUGGAAUAGGACUAUGGUCUCUUUGUUGGUUUGAGGGACUGCAGUAAUGAUUAAGAGGGACAGACGGGGGCGUCCGUACUCUGCCGUUAGAGGUGAAAUUCUUGGAUUUGUUAAAGACGGACUACUGCGAAAGCAUUUGCCAAGGAUGUUUUCAUUGAUCAAGAACGAAAGUUA
Molecule: ribosomal RNA, 389 nt
Filed under: uncultured eukaryote
Lineage: Eukaryota
Description: bacterial SSU rRNA
Rfam family: Eukaryotic small subunit ribosomal RNA
Source: RNAcentral